CUGGAUUGGUAGGAUAGGGGACUGGAAAUCCUCGU
Molecule: transfer RNA, 35 nt
Filed under: Solanum sisymbriifolium
Lineage: Eukaryota; Viridiplantae; Streptophyta; Magnoliopsida; Solanales; Solanaceae
Also listed under: 1 other name
Description: partial tRNA-Phe
Source: RNAcentral